UUAGAAUCUAGUUUAAAAAUUAUAAUGUGAUCUGCAGACGGUGCUGAUGUCUCGGGGCUUCACGACCGAGUUCUGUGGGGGUAGAUCUAGGUGAUGUCCUCCAAGCCAUACUAUAUUGCUUCCAGUUUAGUCCUUGGCGGCGAUUCGUUUUUUGUUUUAGUGGUGAAGCGUUAGCGGUUAAGCUUGGUGAGAAGGGGAGACGAUUGGUCUGAGGUUUUGUUUAUCCACCGGUUUCUCUUUGAUCUUCUCCUAGAUUGCUUUCUAAAAGGAGAACCGAGACCAGAGCUAAGGUUUUUGGUUGGGUGGAGGCGAGUUGGUCAUGGAGUGUGGUUUGGCCUAUCCACUCACUAGCUCCGAACCGGCAAAACCCCUAUGUUCUGUUCUGUCGACUCCUCCUUGUUAUGGUGGUAACAAAUUCUUCGUCCGGCUCAGAACUCAAGUUGGUCUUGAUUUUAGCUAACAUGACCACUGCAAAAGUGCUUUAGCUCCGUCAAGUUUGUGUGUUCGGCCUGAUUCUUGAUUUUGUAUUUUUAGCCAUGGUUUAGAGUGUACCGACCAUGUUUCUUAAGGUUUUAGCUUAAAUUUUUUUCUUUUUUUUUUUCUUUUCUAGUUGCAUUGUAUUAAAGAUAUAGUGAAAAUUCUGUAAACUAAUAAUGUCGAGAUUUUUAUUAUUUA
Long non-coding RNA from Raphanus sativus (radish), 675 nucleotides. RefSeq lists it as uncharacterized. NCBI's taxonomy places the organism in Eukaryota, Viridiplantae, Streptophyta, Magnoliopsida, Brassicales, Brassicaceae. The record is from RefSeq and is a predicted model, not a curated record. The transcript has 2 exons.